RNAcentral lists this ribosomal RNA (305 nucleotides) under uncultured bacterium. RNAcentral describes it as "bacterial SSU rRNA". It matches the Rfam family "Bacterial small subunit ribosomal RNA", at positions 334 to 655 of the family's 1533-position model. The record is from RNAcentral.
UAGCCCUACGGGAGGCAGCAGUGGGGAAUAUUGCACAAUGGGGGAAACCCUGAUGCAGCGACGCCGCGUGAAGGACGAAGUAUUUCGGUACGUAAACUUCUAUCAGCAGGGAAGAAUAAUGACGGUACCUGACUAAGAAGCCCCGGCUAACUACGUGCCAGCAGCCGCGGUAAUACGUAGGGGGCAAGCGUUAUCCGGAUUUACUGGGUGUAAAGGGAGCGUAGACGGCUGUGCAAGUCUGACGUGAACUGCCGGGGCUCAACCCCGGAACUGCUUUGGAACCUGUACAGCUAGAGUGCAGGAGG